RNAcentral lists this signal recognition particle RNA (267 nucleotides) under Planctomycetota bacterium. Its description in RNAcentral is "Planctomycetes bacterium signal recognition particle sRNA large type". It matches the Rfam family "Bacterial large signal recognition particle RNA". From Rfam's summary of the family: The signal recognition particle (SRP) is a universally conserved ribonucleoprotein involved in the co-translational targeting of proteins to membranes. Archaeal SRP consists of a 7S RNA and homologues of the eukaryotic SRP19 and SRP54 proteins. The record is from RNAcentral. Lineage: Bacteria; Pseudomonadati; Planctomycetota.
CAGCGCUAGGCUGGGGGGCUAGGGACCCCUCCCCGCUCCAGUCUUCUCUAUAGGAGAGCCGAAUGCUUCCCGAGGCUCAAGCCACUUAUCUGGCCUUGUUAGGUAAGAACGUUGAUGUCCAGGACCCUCUGGGGCGGGAGACCCCGAACCGGGUCAGGCCUUGACCGGAGCAGCCCUAAGGGGCCCUUCCGUUGCCGGAGGAUAUCCUGGGCGGAGUACACUGCCUAACAAGAGGAUAAGCGGGCAGGGUCGAAGGAAGAAGCGCUG